This is a long non-coding RNA of Passer domesticus (house sparrow), 1469 nucleotides long. RefSeq lists it as uncharacterized. NCBI's taxonomy places the organism in Eukaryota, Metazoa, Chordata, Aves, Passeriformes, Passeridae. The record is from RefSeq and is a predicted model, not a curated record. The transcript is spliced from 3 exons.
ACUUGGACUGGACAGAGCCUUCCUUUCCCUGGAGCUAUCUGGGUUGAGUUUUCAUCCAUCCUUCCUCAUUUGGAGCAGUGGCUAAUUCUCUUGACUUUGGAAGACCUCCUCACUGUUGCAUUUUGGGAAGCAAAGAUGUCUUGGGAGAUGGCUGUCUCUCCCAGAACUAUUCAAGGAAUAUGUGGGAAGAUACUCUAAAAAGCCAGAAACUUUUGUCCAAACAUGCUUUAACUUAAUUUUUCUCCCAGGAAGACCACCUGCUCUCAAGGAGCAACGAGCAGCAGCCCUGCAGGGCUCUUGCAAGGCCUUAGAGCCCCUAAUUGUCCUCAGCUGAGCCUGCCUUCUGGUAUAUAAGCUCCAGCUGAGGAGCAUAACUGGCUGUUGCUUCUCCUGCUUGGCUGCUGGGCUUCAUCUUGAGGAUGCCCUCAUCUUCAAGGCUGGCUUCAUGGCCACUGUCCUCUAUCACAUUGUGUGCUGGACUAACGGGUAUAUGAGGACAGGCUGAUCACCUUCCUGGUGGAAUACGGAAGUUAAAUACCGCAGGAGCUGUAACUGAGAGAAAUAUGCUUAAUCCUCUGGGGUCGGGAUCAGCUAGAGGCGUAAAUGACCCAGAAGAUUUGAUGUCAAACUGUUGAAGUUACAUAAAGGGAAAAGAAAAAGAAAUAAAAUAUCACCUAUAAUUGACCCAAAUGAAACCAUGCCCUGGGUGAAGUGCUACCCUGCUGCCUUCUGCAUGUGCAGAGCUCCUUGCCUAUGUGGGUCUCCUGUUUACAGGGCUGAAAGCUCACACGGGAGGGAGCAAAGAUUGGGGUGGCAUGAGAACCUAAACAGCUCUGAGGACUUUUGCUGGUUACUUUAUAUUGGCAUGAAACCUCAGUUCGCCCCAUUCCACUUCUGGAUUACUCAUUUCCAAACUAUUUCUUGUACCCCGGUGCAAUGGAGGAUCGGUCUCAGAAUUUUUAAAGUUCAUUUGAAACUUUAUGAGAAGGAAAUCAAGACAAAGAGGAAGGAAAUAGGAUGGUGACAUUUUGAACUGAUGAUUAACUCAGCAGAAUUACAGUGGACCAGCUGACAUUUUCUUACCGUGCUGUCUGGGAGACCUGCCAGUGUGGAAUUAUAUUAGUCAAUGUGUGAGCUGACAAGAUGUGUGGUCUUGUGUUUGCAAGAGAGAACAAGAUUUAGAUUGCAGAUAGAAGCCUUUGUCACCUUAUUCCAAUGUGAAUCAAAAGAUAAAUGGGAGUCCUUUUAUAAAGACCAAUUAGUUUUUCUCCAAUUAACACAGGAAUUAUUGUCAUAAGCUUUGCAGAAUAGUUGAUACCAUUAUGAACAUCUCCAGUUUUCUAGGAAUCAAGUAAUUAACAACAGUUGGUUUUAAUAAUCUGAGUCUGGAAGAGCCACAAAUGCUGAAGCAAAAGAAAUAUUAGCUGUGAGUGGAGAGCAAAGAAACUGGUCCUCACUUUCACAGAAAU